Molecule: ribosomal RNA, 539 nt
Filed under: Alternaria alternata
Lineage: Eukaryota; Fungi; Ascomycota; Dothideomycetes; Pleosporales; Pleosporaceae
Description: eukaryotic LSU rRNA
Rfam family: 5.8S ribosomal RNA (bases 210-363)
Source: RNAcentral
GUCGUAACAAGGUCUCCGUAGGUGAACCUGCGGAGGGAUCAUUACACAAAUAUGAAGGCGGGCUGGAACCUCUCGGGGUUACAGCCUUGCUGAAUUAUUCACCCUUGUCUUUUGCGUACUUCUUGUUUCCUUGGUGGGUUCGCCCACCACUAGGACAAACAUAAACCUUUUGUAAUUGCAAUCAGCGUCAGUAACAAAUUAAUAAUUACAACUUUCAACAACGGAUCUCUUGGUUCUGGCAUCGAUGAAGAACGCAGCGAAAUGCGAUAAGUAGUGUGAAUUGCAGAAUUCAGUGAAUCAUCGAAUCUUUGAACGCACAUUGCGCCCUUUGGUAUUCCAAAGGGCAUGCCUGUUCGAGCGUCAUUUGUACCCUCAAGCUUUGCUUGGUGUUGGGCGUCUUGUCUCUAGCUUUGCUGGAGACUCGCCUUAAAGUAAUUGGCAGCCGGCCUACUGGUUUCGGAGCGCAGCACAAGUUGCCCUUUCUAUCAGCAAAGGUCUAGCAUCCAUUAAGCCUUUUUUUCAACUUUGACCUCGGAUCA